RNAcentral lists this ribosomal RNA (701 nucleotides) under uncultured archaeon. RNAcentral describes it as "bacterial SSU rRNA". It matches the Rfam family "Archaeal small subunit ribosomal RNA", at positions 5 to 710 of the family's 1478-position model. The record is from RNAcentral.
CGGUUGAUCCCGCCGGAAGCUACCGCUAUUGGAGUCCGAUUAAGACAUGCGAGUCGAGAGCUUCCGGAGCUCGGCAUACUGCUCAGUAACACGUGGGUAACCUGCCCUAUGCUGGGGGAUAACCUCGGGAAACUGAGAACAAUACCCCAUAGUCCACUACGCCUGGAACGGUGAGUGGAUGAAAGCCCCGGCGGCAUAGGAUGGGCCUGCGGCGUAUCAGGUUGUAGGGGGUGUAAUGUACCCUCUAGCCCUCGACGCGUACGGGCUGUGAGAGCAAUAGCCCGGAGAUGGAUUCUGAGACAAGAAUCCAGGUCCUACGGGACGCAGCAGUCGCGAAACCUUGACAAUGCGGGAAACCGUGAUCAGGGGACUCCAAGUGCCAGGAGUAAGAUCCUGUGCUUUUCAUCUCUCUUCAAAGGAUUUGGAAUAAGGGGUGGGUAAGGACGGUGCCAGCCGCCGCGGUAAUACCGGCGCCUCAAGUGGUAGUCGAUUUUAUUGGGCCUAAAACGUCCGUCGCCGGUCUGGUGCAUUCGUGGGUAAAUCAACCCGCUCAACGGGUUGAAUUCUGCGAGCACGGCCAGACUAGGGACCGGGAGAGGUGUAGGGUACGCUCGGGGUAGGGGUAAAAUCCUGUCAUCCCGAGCGGACCACCUGUUGCGAAGGCGCUACACUAGAACGGAUCCGACGGUCAGGGACGAAGC